Molecule: ribosomal RNA, 402 nt
Filed under: uncultured bacterium
Lineage: Bacteria
Description: bacterial SSU rRNA
Rfam family: Bacterial small subunit ribosomal RNA
Source: RNAcentral
UGGGGAAUAUUGGACAAUGGGCGCAAGCCUGAUCCAGCCAUGCCGCGUGAGUGAUGAAGGCCUUAGGGUUGUAAAGCUCUUUUAGCAGGGAAGAUAAUGACGGUACCUGCAGAAAAAGCCCCGGCUAACUUCGUGCCAGCAGCCGCGGUAAUACGAAGGGGGCUAGCGUUGCUCGGAAUUACUGGGCGUAAAGCGCACGUAGGCGGACUCUUAAGUCGGUGGUGAAAUCCUGGAGCUCAACUCCAGAACUGCCUUCGAUACUGGGAGUCUUGAGUUCGGGAGAGGUGAGUGGAACUGCGAGUGUAGAGGUGAAAUUCGUAGAUAUUCGCAAGAACACCAGUGGCGAAGGCGGCCCACUGGCCCGAUACUGACGCUGAGGUGCGAAAGCGUGGGGAGCAAACA